UACAGAGGGUGCGAGCGUUGUCCGGAAUCAUUGGGUUUAAAGGGUCCGUAGGCGGUUUUAUAAGUCAGUGGUGAAAUCUGGUCGCUCAACGAUCAAACGGCCAUUGAUACUGUAGAACUUGAAUUACUUGGAAGUAACUAGAAUAUGUAGUGUAGCGGUGAAAUGCUUAGAGAUUACAUGGAAUACCAAUUGCGAAGGCAGGUUACUACGAGUAUAUUGACGCUGAUGGACGAAAGCGUGGGGAGCGAACAGG
This 253-nucleotide ribosomal RNA is filed under the name uncultured bacterium. RNAcentral's name for it is "partial 16S ribosomal RNA". It matches the Rfam family "Bacterial small subunit ribosomal RNA", at positions 524 to 776 of the family's 1533-position model. The record is from RNAcentral.